CCUACGGGUGGCAGCAGUGGGGGAUAUUGCACAAUGGGGGGAACCCUGAUGCAGCGACGCCGCGUGGGUGCAGGAGUAUUUCGGUAUGUAAAGCCCUAUCGGCAGGGAAGCAAUUGGACGGUACCUGACUAAGAAGCCCCGGCUAACUACGUGCCAGCAGCCGCGGUAAUACGGAGGGGGAAAGCGUUAUCGGAAUUCACGGGGUGUAAAGGAAGGGUAGACGGCAAUGCAAGCCAGGGGGGAAAGCCCGGGGCCCACCACCGGGACUGCCCUUGGAACUGCAUGGAUGGAGUGCGGGAGGGGCAGGCGGAAUUCCUGGUGUAGCGGUGAAAUGCGUAGAUAUCAGGAGGAACACCGGCGGCGAAGGCGGCCUGCUGGACCGCGACUGACGUUGAGGCUCGAAAGCGUGGGGAGCGAACAGGAUUAGAUACCCUUGUAGUC
Molecule: ribosomal RNA, 441 nt
Filed under: uncultured bacterium
Lineage: Bacteria
Description: partial 16S ribosomal RNA
Rfam family: Bacterial small subunit ribosomal RNA
Source: RNAcentral